RNAcentral lists this transfer RNA (77 nucleotides) under Planctomycetota bacterium. RNAcentral's name for it is "tRNA-Asp". It matches the Rfam family "tRNA". From Rfam's summary of the family: Transfer RNA (tRNA) molecules are approximately 80 nucleotides in length. Their secondary structure includes four short double-helical elements and three loops (D, anti-codon, and T loops). Further hydrogen bonds mediate the characteristic L-shaped molecular structure. tRNAs have two regions of fundamental functional importance: the anti-codon, which is responsible for specific mRNA codon recognition, and the 3' end, to which the tRNAs corresponding amino acid is attached (by aminoacyl-tRNA synthetases). tRNAs cope with the degeneracy of the genetic code in two manners: having more than one tRNA (with a specific anti-codon) for a particular amino acid; and 'wobble' base-pairing, i.e. permitting non-standard base-pairing at the 3rd anti-codon position. Lineage: Bacteria; Pseudomonadati; Planctomycetota. The record is from RNAcentral.
GGGGAAGUAGCUCAAUUGGUUAGAGUACCGGCCUGUCGAGCCGGUUGUUGCGGGUUCGAGUCCCGUCUUCCUCGCCA